CUCACUAAAGAAAUAGUAAAAAAAAAAAUACCCUCAUUGAUUACGAGAAUAAAUCAAGAAGCAUCUCCUUUUAUAUAUGAUGUGCUUUUUAUACCUUGGUCUAUGGUCACUAAUUAUCACUGUAAAAAGAAGAAGGAAUUACUCAAAUCACUGGGUUACUAGACAUAGAUAGUUAGAUUAAAUUUAAGCAGUUCCCUUUUGUUCACCUAGUCACAAAUCUUCACAUGAAAUUGUAAGGCUGGGAUUCAAUCGGAUCCAUGUUAGAUCAGUGCAAUUGUGCAUUUGACAUUUAAAACCGAAAUCGAUCAAAUCAGUUGGAUUCUAAAAUGCCCUUACUUUGUUUCACAAUGUCCCAGUGCCUCCACAGAAAAGAAAGGCCAGACACCGCCAAAAUUACAAGAACCAAGGUAACUGUUAUGUUUUGUCCACCUGUGAAGACAACUGGUGAUGCUGUUUUAGUUGGUGGAAGAGAGUUUAGCCAUUAUUCAAAGCAAUGCAAUUAAAGUUUAUGUUAUUUUAAAAUGUUAAAAGUUGUAAAAAAAAAUUGCUUCAGAUAAUGCAUCUUUGAGCUUCAAAAGCUUCCAUAGUCAGUGAUUGACUUGGGCCGGAGCUGUCUGGUGCAUAAAAAUACGACCAAUUUAAUGUCCUCCUGGUUGGGAUCGCAGCUUAGCUUUCAAUCCCAUGGUUGUGAGGCAUAGCUUAGCUUUCUGUUCAAAAAUUCUAUAUCAGGAAAAUAAGUACAGACAACAGACUAACCAAAUAACUAAUUCUAACACCUAGCUUGUAGCAUGGUCAUUUCAUGGUAAUUUUUUUUGGUGGCCUAAAGGCACCUGUAUAGCUCCACAACAAUGUCUGUGUAGGCAUUACUGGGCCUCAUACGCAAAUGUUCGCAUGCAGUGCUUCAUCAUAUUUGCCAACUUCUACUGCCGGUCAUCAGGGAAUACAGCACAAUCGCCGUGCCACUCACAUCGCUGCUGAAAGGCCAACCACAGCGCCCCUACUGGUCCCCGGAGGCAGAGAAGGUCGUCCUCAACCUGAAGGGCAGGUACACCAACGAUCUCAUGCUAUGCCAUCCAGACCUGCUCAAGUUGGGGUGGGGGCAGUCCUCUCCCAGCAGCACAGGACCCCUCCCCAGCUCCAUCCUCUACUUACUUCUCCCAGAAGCUAACUGCUGCAACGUGGGUGACCGUGAGCUGCGGUGAAGUUGGCACUGGAGGUGUUGAGACACUGGCUGGUGGGCGCCCGGGAGCUGUUCUGACAGACCACCAGAACCUAGAACAAGUCAGGGCUGCGCGGUGCCUCAACGUCCGCCAGCCCAGAUGGUCCCUGUUCUUCGAUCGCUUCCAGUUCACUCUGACAUACCGACCAGUUAUGAAGAAUGUCAGGGCGGACGCACUAUCCUGCCUUCUUGACCGAGGGCAGAACUGCCAAUGGACAUGCCAAUCCUGCCCGCUCUGUGGGUCCUGUCUCCUGGGACAUUGACGAGAACAGUCGUCGAGCAGGGAGAUGGGACCCCAUACUACCGCCAUGCCCCCAGACAAGACCUACGUGCUCCGAAGACUGUGGGGCCGGUUGGUGACCUGGGCACAACCUGCUCUGGGAGAAGUCCUGCUGGGCUGGCAUGCGAAGGACUUUACAUCAAAUAUACCUCACUUUGAAAAUUCACAAACUGCUUAUAGAAAUUGUUACCUUAACAUUAGUUAUAUGUAGAUUGGGUACAUUAUUUCAGGCAUUCAUAUGCCUGAUAUGUGUUUUCUACAGUAGCUUAACAUUUAUACAAUAGUCGGUGAGGUUUUGGCAAUUGUUCAGAUUUUUCCUUUCUCAAUUGUUUUAUGUUGUCACAGUUCUAUGUUCAGUUCAAUUAACCUUCAGUCAAUAUUGUUUACUUCUGUGACUCAUCAGAUCCUGUGACUCAUCAGUUUACUCCUGUGACUCAUGAACCAACUUGGAAAAAGAAAGCUCCAGCCCAUAAUGAAAUCCAAGUCAAGCACUGUCCAUAGCUUUCAAAUGUAAACAUGUUAAUGAUGAAUUACAAUUAUGUAAAACCUGUAUUAUUGACAAGACUAUAAACUGCACUGUUGCAAUAUACAGUGUAGCAAUCCAUGUAUUUAAGCAUUAAAAAUACACUAAACAUACACAUUACACAAUACUGACAUGAUCUUACCUUCCACAUCUUCAUCUCUGUUGACCCAUAAGACCAGAUAAUCCCCUGUUGACUUCACUUGACUGAUUGGGUGUUUACAUUUGCUGUACACACAGCUGUACUUGCCUGAGUCUUGUUUUCUAACUUCUUUCAACAAGAAAACAGAUUCAGCACCUUUCUUCAUUGGUGCCAUUUGCAUCCCAACUCCAUCCUUGCAAAGGUAAAAAUGAACCAUGUCCCCGCUUAUAGUGAUGUUAUUAGUUUGACACUUGAAAUGUAUUGUGGUCCCUUCAGUCACAUUAGAUGGUCCAAAGAGCUUUGUGGGGUAGAUCUC
Molecule: long non-coding RNA, 2477 nt
Organism: Esox lucius (northern pike)
Lineage: Eukaryota; Metazoa; Chordata; Actinopteri; Esociformes; Esocidae
Source: Ensembl